AUUGGACGCUGGCGGCAGGCCUAACACAUGCAAGUCGAGCGGAUGAAGGGAGCUUGCUCCUGGAUUCAGCGGCGGACGGGUGAGUAAUGCCUAGGAAUCUGCCUGGUAGUGGGGGAUAACGUCCGGAAACGGGCGCUAAUACCGCAUACGUCCUGAGGGAUAAAGUGGGGGAUCUUCGGACCUCACGCUAUCAGAUAAGCCUAGGUCGGAUUAGCUAGUUGGUGGGGUAAAGGCCUACCAAGGCGACGAUCCGUAACUGGUCUGAGAGGAUGAUCAGUCACACUGGAACUGAGACACGGUCCAGACUCCUACGGGAGGCAGCAGUGGGGAAUAUUGGACAAUGGGCGAAAGCCUGAUCCAGCCAUGCCGCGUGUGUGAAGAAGGUCUUCGGAUUGUAAAGCACUUUAAGUUGGGAGGAAGGGCAGUAAGUUAAUACCUUGCUGUUUUGACGUUACCAACAGAAUAAGCACCGGCUAACUUCGUG
RNAcentral lists this ribosomal RNA (484 nucleotides) under uncultured bacterium. RNAcentral describes it as "partial 16S ribosomal RNA". It matches the Rfam family "Bacterial small subunit ribosomal RNA", at positions 30 to 507 of the family's 1533-position model. The record is from RNAcentral.